AGUGAACGCUGGCGGCAUGCCUAACACAUGCAAGUCGAACGGCAACACGUUAAGCUCUUGCGCUUCCGGCGGGCGAGUGACGUAUGGGAAAGUAAUACAUCGGAAUCUACAUUUUCGUGAAGGAUAACGUAAGAAAACAUACGCUAAUACCGCAUAAGCGCGGCGUGGCAAAACAUCGCAUGUUCGGACCUUGCGCGAUCGGAUUAGGCGAUUUCGGAUUAGCUAGUUGGCGAGGUAAAGGCCCACCAAGCCGACGAUCCGUAGCUGGUCUGAGAGGAUGACCAGCCACACUGGAACUGAGACACGGUCCAGACUCCUACGGGAGGCAGCAGUGGGGAAUAUUGGACAAUGGGCGCAAGCCUGAUCCAGCCAUGCCGCGUGGGUGAAGAAGGCCUUCGGGUUGUAAAGCCCUUUUGUUGGGAAAGAAAAGGAGCUGGUUAAUACCUGGGUGUUAUGACGGUACCUAAAGAAUAAGCACCGGCUAACUUCGUG
RNAcentral lists this ribosomal RNA (492 nucleotides) under uncultured bacterium. RNAcentral's name for it is "partial 16S ribosomal RNA". It matches the Rfam family "Bacterial small subunit ribosomal RNA", at positions 29 to 507 of the family's 1533-position model. The record is from RNAcentral.